Lathyrus oleraceus (garden pea) is the source of this 2026-nucleotide long non-coding RNA. RefSeq lists it as uncharacterized. The transcript has 4 exons. Lineage: Eukaryota; Viridiplantae; Streptophyta; Magnoliopsida; Fabales; Fabaceae. The record is from RefSeq and is a predicted model, not a curated record.
GUAUACUGAAGCCAACAGGACUCUAGGCCCAAACCCGGUUUUCAGCCAUUAACAGAAAGCUUGCACAACCUGAAACGUAAAAAAAACAGCAAUCACUUAUGUAAAAGGAGGCAACCGAUCUCAAUCGGAGAAAUCAAUGCUGAGAAGAGCUUAUUAAAAAAGCUCGGAGAAGGAAUCACACUGGCGUGGCGUUCUGGAUUGCCUCUUGGAGAAUUCUUCAUCGCGAUUUAGAACUUGUUCCGCAUUCAGGUGUUCAUCAUCAUCGCAUCACGUUCGUCCUUCACCCGCCACGGUAUUUUGUUCGUCGCGCAUCUGCCAUGGCGUUAUGCUCUCCGUGCAUCUGCCAUGGCAUCGUGUUGUUUCACGAUUUCAGAGCGGCUUCGAGUCAUCCGAAACGCGCUAUGGUUCAUGUUGUAAAUACGCCGCUUAAUAUCGCGUUUCAACACCGAACUCCAUGGAUUCACACUUCACUGCUUAACAUUAUUGCGCAUGGAUUCAAUUCACUGAUCCAAUGACUUAUCAAGAUUGCCCCGCCGCAAAUCCUAAUGGCGUCUAAUAACAACUACCAAUAGAAUAAAAAAGGCAGAAAACUCACAGUGCGUCGCGGUUACGGCAGUCGCUCACCUUAAUGUUGUGCCGGCAAAAUGAAAUAGAACGUGAGGCAUAUUGAUGCAGAAGGUGAAGGAACGAGACGAUGUUCUGCUUGCUGUUAAUCGGCGAAUGAUUCGGGAUCAAGAACAUUGUAGGCGAAUCUGAAAUUCUCCGGUGAGUCCCCUCUGCUAUCCUCCUGUUACGCUUCUUCUUCUCGCAAUUCCUUGGAUUGUUUGACUUGGUUGUGUUGCAGAGCGAAAUUGGAGGAAGGUGAUGGCAGAAGAUGAGGAUGCAGAGUCGUGAGAAUGAAGAGUGGAGUGGAAGAAUGGUAAAAGAGAAUGAAGAAGAUGGCAAUGCUUUGUUAUAUAGAGAGCAUGAAGUUGCAACUGAAUCGGGCACACCGGGCAGGGGGUGCUUUUAAGUCGCGAUUAAACCACCAGCUACGCUAAGUCGACGAAACUUUGAUGUUAACUUGGUUUAAAAAACCAUUAGCUAAUCCAAGUAGUGAGUUGGAUGUUAGUUGAACAAUGAUGAGUUGGUUAAAUGUUAUUGCCAUUGUAAUUGGUAAUUGGUGAAAAUUAUGCUAAUGUGAAUGAUUCCGAUUUCGCAUGAAUUAGGGACUGAACUAUGACUUGUAAAAACAUUCUGGAUUCUUAUUAUUGUGGAUUACCAAGUAACGGCUUGCUCAUUCGGAUCGGGUAUGCUAAUGAAAUCUCAAUUGGUUGGAGAUUGCUUGGAUAUAAAUUGGGAAUGAUUUGGUGAUGGAGAUGAACGAGUAUAAUUUGGAAGCAAGCUUCUUGUACAGGAAGUUUUAAGAGAUUGAAUUGGAAGAAAGAAAAUUGUAUUAUUACUAGGCAUUAUAUUGAAUGCAUCAAUUAAUUAUCAAUUGUGUAUUAGAUUUGAGUUGAAUGAGAAUAAAUUAUUAUUACGAAAAAUUUCUAUGUUAGGUAAGUUGGAGUUGAUUUGGUUAUGUUUAUUGCUCGUAGUUAAUGAAAAUUGUGUGCCAAGGUUUUGAAUAUAGCAUAAUGGCUUUGUCGAUUGUAGAAAAAUGAUUGUAUUGUACUUGUAUUAAUAUUUAAUGUAAUUUAAAGUGUAGCAUGGUGUAAUGGUGAUGAAGUAAAUAUUCGGCACGGCAGCUGGUUUAUAAUGCUAUGGCAGUCAAUUUGAACAUUGGAUGAUAAUGUGUUGAUUAUGAUGUGAAAUGCUUGUGGAACUAAUGCCCAUGUAUGAUGCAAGAUGCAUGUAUAUACAAGUGUAACAACAUUAUGAUAAUAGUUUCUCGAAGCUUAAUGCUCUCCACUUGUUUUGCAAUGCAGGAAGUGUUUAUAUAAGAUGUGUAUGGAAUGGAUAUGGUGAUGUUAGAACCUUCAAGUAACAUGUUAGUUUUAGAUUUAUUUUUGGAAUGCUCACUUGAAAUGUGCCAUGAGCUUAUUAU